UACAGAGGGGGCAAGCGUUGUUCGGAAUUACUGGGCGUAAAGGGCGCGUAGGCGGCCUUCUAAGUCGAACGUGAAAUCCCCGGGCUCAACCCGGGAACUGCGUCCGAUACUGGAAGGCUUGAAUCCGGGAGAGGGAUGUGGAAUUCCUAGUGUAGAGGUGAAAUUCGUAGAUAUUAGGAAGAACACCAGUGGCGAAGGCGGCUCACUGGUCCGGUACUGACGCUGAGGUGCGAAAGCGUGGGGAGCAAACAGG
RNAcentral lists this ribosomal RNA (253 nucleotides) under uncultured bacterium. RNAcentral's name for it is "partial 16S ribosomal RNA". It matches the Rfam family "Bacterial small subunit ribosomal RNA", at positions 524 to 776 of the family's 1533-position model. The record is from RNAcentral.